Molecule: ribosomal RNA, 525 nt
Filed under: uncultured bacterium
Lineage: Bacteria
Description: bacterial SSU rRNA
Rfam family: Bacterial small subunit ribosomal RNA
Source: RNAcentral
ACAUCCAGAGAACUUAACAGAGAUGCUUUGGUGCCUUCGGGAACUCUGAGACAGGUGCUGCAUGGCUGUCGUCAGCUCGUGUUGUGAAAUGUUGGGUUAAGUCCCGCAACGAGCGCAACCCUUAUCCUUUGUUGCCAGCGGCUCGGCCGGGAACUCAAAGGAGACUGCCGGUGAUAAACCGGAGGAAGGUGGGGAUGACGUCAAGUCAUCAUGGCCCUUACGGCCAGGGCUACACACGUGCUACAAUGGCGCAUACAAAGAGAAGCGACCUCGCGAGAGCAAGCGGACCUCACAAAGUGCGUCGUAGUCCGGAUUGGAGUCUGCAACUCGACUCCAUGAAGUCGGAAUCGCUAGUAAUCGUAGAUCAGAAUGCUACGGUGAAUACGUUCCCGGGCCUUGUACACACCGCCCGUCACACCAUGGGAGUGGGUUGCAAAAGAAGUAGGUAGCUUAACCUUCGGGAGGGCGCUUACCACUUUGUGAUUCAUGACUGGGGUGAAGUCGUAACAAGGUAGGCGUAGCGAG